GUUCUGCGACUACGAGGAUUUUUACAUGACAAUUCCAAAGAGAGCUUUGUGUUUCCUUCCAAGUGGACUUUAGAAAUAUUAGUAAAAACCCCACCACAAGGAACUGCACCUUCUAGGUCAUUAAAGGCAAGAUUCAACAACUGAAGGGCUUCAAGUUUUUGGAGAUCAGGAGGAAUGAAACCAGACAGAUGGUUAUAAGAAAGGUCUAAAGUUUCUAGGCCUUUCAUCUCUCCUAACACGGCAGGAACAGGGCCUGAAAACGAGUUUCUGGACAUGUACAACUCCUCUAAGCUCUCACAGUUUUUUAUUAAGCUUGGAAUAUCACCGGAUAAAUGAUUAUUAGAGAGAUCUAUAGUGACAACACUUUCGAGCAGACCGAUGUCCUCUGACAAAUUCCCGCUUAGGAAGUUGUUAGACAGAUUCAAGAUUUUGCUCAAACUUGGGAGAUUGAGAAUUUCUUUCGCAAUGCUUCCAUUGAGCUUAUUGUUGGACAAGUCCAUAGCAAGCAGACUCUGAAAAUUACCAAAAGUAGUGGGUAUUGCACCCACCAAUCCGUUUCUUGAUAAAUCUAUUUGGUUCAACUUUCGGAGAUUUCCAAGAGAAUCAGGAAUACUUCCUGAAAAUUGAUUUCCUGCCAAACCCAAAAAUUGCAGGUGCUCCAGUUGGCCAAUUUCACGUGGGAUUGAACCAGUGAUCGAGUUGUAGCUCAGAUUUAACAAGGUCAAGCCACUGAGAUGGCCAAUUGAGGCUGGUAUACCUCCAUAGAUUUGAUUUUCUCCCAUGUAUAAUUGCAAAAGAUCCUUGGAAAGAUUGCCAAUAGAUUCUGGAAUGACACCCUGCAAACGAUUGCCAUCAAAGGCAAGGAAUUUAAGCCGGGUGCUGUUUGUUAAAGAAGCGAUGAAGUCCAGACCCUUAUCUCCAGAGCUAACAAUAUUGUUGAAACCAAUAUUGUACAUCUCCAGGAAUGGAAGAUUUCCCAAACCUGGUGGCACUGUUCCUUCAAGAAGGUUAUGAGCCAUUCGAAUGACUUUUAUAUUUGUGAGAUUGUGCAAAGAACCAGGAAUUGUACCAGUGAACUUAUUGAUGCAAAAAUUGAAGACUAAAAGAUUUGGAAGUGUAACACCAACAUCACUAGGAAGUUCACCCCACAACUGGUUAGAAGCUAAGGCCAAAGUAACCAGGGAAGACAUGUUGUAGAUGUUUGAGGGAACUGAGCCAGUGAGAUUGUUUAUAGUAAGGUCAAGGACCUUCAGAUUAUGAAGUCUGCUUAAGUCACUAGGUAUUAUUCCACUAAGAGUAUUAGUGCCUAAAAUCAAAUCUUCUAGUGAAGAAAGAUUUGCUAUAGAUGGUGGAAUUGCACCUGAAAGAACAUUCCUCCCCAGGUUCAGGACUUGGAGCUUGGUAAGUGAGGUGAGCUCUUCAGGAAUUUUUCCUGUAAUCUUAUUCAUUGACAAGUCGAGCACUGUGAGAUCCGACAACUUGCUUAAGUUGGAUGAAAUUGAACCUUGCAAGCUAUUGGAACUCAGGUUCAUGGCUGUCAAGCGAAAAAGGUUACAGAUUUCAUCAGGAAUUGUUCCUCUGAGAUGAUUAUUUUGAAGCUGGAGGGACCGAAGGAAGGAGAGAUUGCCAAUAUAAGGACUUAUGGAUCCAGAAAUAUCUAAGCUGGACAGAUUGAGACCAAUAACUCUAUGGUUAAAUCUGUUGCAGGACACUCCUGUCCAGUUGCAAGGAGACGAGUUCUGGUUCCAUGAAGGUAAACCGGGUGGUUCCAGGUUAGACUUAAAUGCGAGCAAGGCUUCCUUGUCAGUCUCAAUGCUUAAAGCAACAGACAUCACUAAGGGAUAACUGCAUUUGAAAGAUACAAGAAUAGCUAACAGUAAGGUGUAUUUUAAAUGGGAGAGAAGGAGACUCAUUUCUUUGGCUUGGCUGGCUGUUUCUGGUUUCAGUUGGAACUUGGAAAUGAAUAUGGCAUGGCUUAAAGAUAGUGAAGAUGGAUUUAUAACCCAAAAAACACUUGCCUACGAUUACAUAUCUUAAAUCUUUGACACAAUUGACAUUUGAGUUUAUUGAUUUUGGACGCGCAAGUCGAUUUGGCCGUGGACGACGGUAGUCAUCAUGACUUGACAAGUAGUUGAAGACUUCUCGGAGUCAAGCCUUAACGUGCAGUAUGGUUCAGAAUAUUUGGAUCACCUUCUAACCUUAUUUUAAUGGUGACAGCAUAUGGUUUAAUUACGGUUAGAAAUCUAUAGUCCCCACAUAUCAAGAUUCGAUUUCUACCGUUGGAACACGUUACGACUCCUCCGAUCAGUCAAGCCCUGUAUAUUAAGUAGAUACGACAAUGUCACGUAUGCUAGAGUGUUUUAUAUUUUGAUAUCGGAUAUUUGACACAUAUUUAUCAUUUAAGACUAAUGAAUAUAUGUUAAUUAUCUAUCGCUUAAUGUAUAGGUGGGAACAUACACCAAGCCUAAAUAAACAUUUUUUAUAUUAAUUAUGUAUUAUUUUUGUUGGAAAAAAUUAUAGUAAUUAGAUAACUAAGGUCCUAAUAUUUGUUGAGCGAUUUUAAAUAAGUAUUAUAUUAAUUGAUAAUUAUAUUUUAUUUUAUUUUUAUGGAAUAUGUUAUUUAAUUAUCUUUUUUGUUACACAUUAGGAUUAAUUACUCUACAAUUAAAAACAUUUGUUUUAAAUUGAUUGAAAACAUAUUAUGUAUGGAAUUUGAUAUUUAACAUAAGUGUUAGGACCAAUGAAAUUUUUCAUUGAUUAAGUUUCAGAACAAAUAAUUGAUUUGUUUAGGUGAAUUGAACUUAAGAAAUAACCUAGGCACCAAAAUUGAUCCUUUUAUCAUAAAUUCAACCGUCAUUAACAGUAUCUGGUAUUAUAUUGAACAACUUUGUGCCAAAUUUCCCACUUGACCAUUUCAUGUUUAAGGCUUCACUACCUGGAUUGGACUAAUGGGAUUGGAUUCUUUGUACCUUAGUUCCUUUCAGAAUGCAUUUUAUUUUUUCUUUUCACUCUAUAAAUCCUCAUUUUCCAGUUUUUGGGAUUGAGUGGUCGUACAACUUUUACUUUCUAAUGAUGGACAAGGUGAGGGGAAUUUUUCUACAUCUUGUUGGAAAUUUGGGUUCCAACUUAAAUCAUUUUCGAAACUGAGUGACGUGUCCAAUAUAAAUUGUUACUAUCUCAAAGCCGUAUGGUUAAUUGUUAAGGAAGAACCAUCUAAAGCAAUCAAUUUAUACGCCAUUAUUGACUAGAAAUUGAAAGCUUUUCUGUUUUGUGUUCGGACAAGACUACAAGAGCCAUUCAUUUCACCUCAGGUUUAUGCAAGAACCAUUAAACUAGCCUUGGCUUGUAGCAGUAAGCAUCCCUUUCAUUCUUGCAUUGCAAUUUUAUAUGUGCAACAACGAUGAAACUGAAAAAAAGUAAAUAAUCAAAUCUUCUAGUAUAAAUAAACAAACGACAUGCAAGAAAAGUUAUUUAAGAGCAAUGCUAUGUAACAGACAUGGAGAUUUUAGUAUGAACAUCUCAAUAUUUCUAUAUUUAAGUUCAGUAUGGAGAUGGUUGAUCAUUGAACCAUAGAACUGGUGUCUAUUGCAGCCUUUUCUAGUGAAACCCUUUUGCACCAAAGAAACCCAUUUAUAGGGAGACUGAUUUAAUUUUAGAACAUAAUUAACCUUAGUCAAUGAUUGAGAUUAUACAAACAUGAUUUAUUAUGUUUAAUCUGAACACCUGAGGAUCUUAAACCUUAUUAUUUCAUGCUACACGGGACAAUUUUUGUAUCCCAACAACAUAUAAAUACAGAAAAAAAAAAAUGAAUUUCAAGUUGAAAUGUUUAAGGAUGUGAAAUAUAAAUAUAUUAUUAUUAUUAUGAUUGUUAUUAUUAUUAUUAUUAUUAUUAUUAUCAUUAUUGGAUGAUUAUCGAUCUUUCUUAUUUAAUAUUUUUAGAAUGAAAAUUGGAAUUAUGAUUGUUAAGGAACAUAAUUUUAAUUUUUUUAUUUAAAAAAUUCUCAUUUUGAUUAGAAGUACAAAAAGCCAAUAAUUCUUGGGUAUCUGCUAUGUGAAUUUUCGAAUGGCCAAAUGGUGACUAUAAAAAGAAUCAGAGUCAAAGUAGAAAUAAGGUGGAGAAAAUUAUAUGAGAAAAGAAACUAUAAAUCCAAAACUGAAUUUCAUUCAUACGAAGAAGAAAACACUAACAAACUACUCAAACAGAAGAUAGAAUAAAAGAAACUAAAACCAUUACUGAAGAAACUAAUAAAUCAUGCUGAUGGAGGAGAUGGCGAUCCUGAUGAGCAAACUUUCUUCAGAAGAGGACCAAAGAAGGGGUUGUCAAAGUGACCAAAAAUAGCCGAAAUACAAUCAUCAACGAUUUGUUGAACAGACUGGCAACAUUUAGCAUCAAGAUUGACUUUAUGAGAAGUAAAAGAUGUCAUGAUUUGUUGGACACAUCCUUGAUCAACAUGGAAAUCCUGGAAACAUUUCUGAAAUUUAGGGUCAGGAGAUGGAAGCUUGGCAUGACCAGCAGGUAGUGGUGGAAAUGCAUGACCAGGCCCCCAUGGGAAUUGUCUAUGACGAAAUGGAAAGCCGGGAAACUUUGGUGGUCCUGGUGGUGUUGGUGCAUCAUCAUCGGCAGCUGAUGAUGCUGUAAAAACAAUGAAAAGUAGCACAACAGCAAACACUUUCUUCAUCAUCAUCAUUUUUCUUUUUCUGGUGUUUUUGCCUAAUAUAAUAAUUCUUGAAAUGCUUAUUGAAAGUGAUGAGGUGCAAUGUAAAACUCGGUAGCCCUAUUUAUAAAUGGGAGUGAGAAGUGUAUUUCAGCUACUGUUUCAUUGAUUUGAUCACUUUUAUUGUUUCAAAUUCAUUCUGAUAUACUUUCUUCUUUUAUCUUUUCUGUUUCCUUUUUUUUUUUUUUUUUAAUUAUCGCUUUUUCUAUAAUUAGUUUUGGAGGAUAAACUUUUUAUGAGUCUUGAUUUAAGGAGAUGAGGCUUUCUAUAGGAUUAAGUCUUUAUGAUUCUUAUUGUUAUAGUGAAAAAGAUAACUCAAAAAAUUGUAUGUCUUAUUUCCUACAUACUGCUUUCCACAAAUUAACACAACAAAAUUAUUAAAAAACCAAAUUACACAUUGAGCACAAGAUAAGCAUAUAUCUCAUCUUAAAUUAAAUUUCAAAUUCAACUCUAAUUAAUAUACUUCUACUGAAGACUUUUAAUGGGUCUUGCUAUUUCAAAGUGAUCGAGUUAAAGAGAUAGAGAUACGUAAAGAUUAAGAUUAUAAAGUACUAUAUUCCAAUGUCACUAUAUUUUUCUUUUAAAUCAAACUCCCCAUUAUUCUGUGUCAAAGAUGAUAAUUUUCAGAUUUAAGACUUCACUAGCUAGUAUUGGACUAAUAGGAUUGGAUUGCUUAGUUUUACCUUUCAGAAUCCAUUUUUGUUCUUUCUGGUUCAUUGAUCUAAUCACUUUGCUAUUAUUGUUUCAAAUUCAUUCUGAUAUACUUUCUUUCUUUUUAUCUUUUCUGUUUCCUAUCCUUUUUUUAUGAUUAGUUUUGUAUGAUAAACUUUCUAUGAGUAUGGGGCUCUUGAGUCUUGACUGAGGCUUUCAAUAUGAUUAUGUCUUUCUGAUUUUUGCUGUUAAAGUAAAAAAGACAAAUAAGUAAAAUUGUUUGUCUUAUUUCCUGUACUGUUCUCCAAGAAUUAAUACAACAAAUUGUAAAAAUACAUAAUUAAUUAUCAAAUUGGGACUUGUUUCUUCAUCCACAUUGAGCACAUGAUACAUCAGUUUUAUACCAACUUAUUAUACCCCAUGAUAUGAUAUUACAACAUUAUUAGGUUUAUUUUCUAUAAAUUACUUUUGGAAGGAAAUUAUGAUAAAUAUAAUAAUGUUAUAUCAAAGUAUUGGUUAAAUAGCAGUUUUCGCUAUUUAAUACACCAAAUAAAGCAUUUCUGAAGUAAGUAAUUCCAAAUAAUUUGAAUAACCAUCAGCCAUUAACAGACAUGUUGGCCUGUCAUGGUGAACACUUGACUUUGUAGUUAGGAACAUAGUUAAGAAGGUUGUCUCUAGCUGCUUUGAGCUUGAGAAGAGCAUCUCGCAUGCUGAUGCGCCUGUCUGGAGAUUCUGCAGUGCAUGAUAAUCCAACCUCACAAACUGUGAUUAGACAGUCAUUUUGUAUUUCUGAUAUAAUAGACUGGUCAUCAUGAUACCAAUUGUCCACAGGCAGUAGCAGAACAGGGUCUAGCACUUGCAGUAUAUUGGAAGAGAAAGCCGAUUGUACCCAUCCAACCAGAUUUUGUUCGCCCUUGAAACUAUCACAAGUGGGGCUCUUGCCAGUGAAUAACUCUAGUAGCAUCACUCCAAAGCUGUAUACAUCUCCAGCAGUCGAUGGUUUCACCCCUAGACCAUACUCUGCAUCAUCAUGAAUAAUUGGUAUCAACGAGAAAGUUCACCGAAUACUAUAUAACGCAUUUGUAAGCCUUAAAUUUAAGUUCAUAUGCAUGACUCAGUGGUAUGUAAAUUGUGUUUUUAUGAGGUAUGUAUCAAGGUGCUUACAGGGGAAUAUUAAGGUACUGACCUGGAGGUAUGUAUCCUAUGGAACCUUUUAGGACAUGAGUAGAGCUGAUUGAAGUCUGAACACCAAUUUUCUCUACCAGCAAUGUAGCCAGGCCAAAAUCUCCCACCUUGGCAGUCAUGUCUUCUUUUAGAAGAACAUUGCUAGGCUUCAAAUCACAAUGCACCACAGGAACUUCACAGUCAUAAUGCAAGUAAUCCAUAGCGCUCGCUGCAUCAAUGACCACAUUCAAUCUCUCCAUAAGAUUCAACCCAUCUCCAUUUUCUUUCUUCCUCUUGCCCUUAAUCCAAUCAUCCAAGCUCCCAUUACCAAGGAACUCGUAAACUAGAGCCAGAAAUUCUACAUUCUUAAAAUCAAUGCUUGAGCAAGAUGUAAUCAGUUUAACUAGAUUCCGAUGCCUCACAUUUCUUAAGGCUUCACACUCUGCAACAAAACUCUUCCAACAGCCAGUUUGUUUGAUGUCAAGGACCUUGACGGCAACAGCAGAACCGUCUACAAGAAACCCUUUGUACACUGACCCAAAGCCUCCACUUCCAAUCAAAUUUCGCUCGGCAAAGUUAUCAGUUGCUUGGCGGAGUUCGCGGUAUGAAACAAUUUGAUGUUGCUCCUUUAUCAAGUUGUUAGACGCCCAUUCGAUUUUGCCUUUGCUUCUCCUGAUAAACAACAGAUAGCCAAUAGAAAGGCAAAAUGCUAAUGUGGCCGUAACAGCAAUAACGAUAGAAAUUUUGACUACGUUCGCUCUGCGACUACGAGGAUUUUUACAUGACAAUUCCAAAGAGAGCUUUGUGUUUCCUUCCAAGUGGACUUUAGAAAUAUUAGUAAAAACCCCACCACAAGGAACUGCACCUUCUAGGUCAUUAAAGGCAAGAUUCAACAACUGAAGGGCUUCAAGUUUUUGGAGAUCAGGAGGAAUGAAACCAGAAAGAUGGUUAUAAGAAAGGUCUAAAGUUUCUAGGCCUUUC
RNAcentral lists this long non-coding RNA (7511 nucleotides) under Ricinus communis (castor bean). RNAcentral's name for it is "long non-coding RNA (RCOM_LNC002202)". Lineage: Eukaryota; Viridiplantae; Streptophyta; Magnoliopsida; Malpighiales; Euphorbiaceae. The record is from RNAcentral.